This 465-nucleotide ribosomal RNA is filed under the name Vreelandella stevensii. Its description in RNAcentral is "partial 16S ribosomal RNA". It matches the Rfam family "Bacterial small subunit ribosomal RNA", at positions 338 to 795 of the family's 1533-position model. The record is from RNAcentral. Lineage: Bacteria; Pseudomonadati; Pseudomonadota; Gammaproteobacteria; Oceanospirillales; Halomonadaceae.
CCUACGGGAGGCAGCAGUGGGGAAUAUUGGACAAUGGGGGCAACCCUGAUCCAGCCAUGCCGCGUGUGUGAAGAAGGCCCUCGGGUUGUAAAGCACUUUCAGUGAGGAAGAACGCCUGGUGGUUAAUACCCAUCAGGAAAGACAUCACUCACAGAAGAAGCACCGGCUAACUCCGUGCCAGCAGCCGCGGUGAUACGGAGGGUGCGAGCGUUAAUCGGAAUUACUGGGCGUAAAGCGCGCGUAGGUGGCUUGAUAAGCCGGUUGUGAAAGCCCCGGGCUCAACCUGGGAACGGCAUCCGGAACUGUCAAGCUAGAGUGCAGGAGAGGAAGGUAGAAUUCCCGGUGUAGCGGUGAAAUGCGUAGAGAUCGGGAGGAAUACCAGUGGCGAAGGCGGCCUUCUGGACUGACACUGACACUGAGGUGCGAAAGCGUGGGUAGCAAACAGGAUUAGAUACCCGUGUAGUC